CACGUAGGGUGCGAGCGUUGUCCGGAUUUAUUGGGCGUAAAGAGCUCGUAGGCGGUUCCGUAAGUCAGAUGUGAAAACUCAGGGCUCAACCCGGAGACGCCAUCUGAUACUGCGGUGACUUGAGUCUGGUAGGGGAACACGGAAUUCCUGGUGUAGCGGUGAAAUGCGCAGAUAUCAGGAGGAACACCGAUGGCGAAGGCAGUGUUCUGGGCCAGUACUGACGCUGAGGAGCGAAAGCGUGGGGAGCGAACAGG
This 254-nucleotide ribosomal RNA is filed under the name uncultured bacterium. RNAcentral describes it as "partial 16S ribosomal RNA". It matches the Rfam family "Bacterial small subunit ribosomal RNA", at positions 524 to 776 of the family's 1533-position model. The record is from RNAcentral.